RNAcentral lists this ribosomal RNA (1539 nucleotides) under Escherichia coli. RNAcentral describes it as "bacterial SSU rRNA". It matches the Rfam family "Bacterial small subunit ribosomal RNA". The record is from RNAcentral. Lineage: Bacteria; Pseudomonadati; Pseudomonadota; Gammaproteobacteria; Enterobacterales; Enterobacteriaceae.
UUGAAGAGUUUGAUCAUGGCUCAGAUUGAACGCUGGCGGCAGGCCUAACACAUGCAAGUCGAACGGUAACAGGAAACAGCUUGCUGUUUCGCUGACGAGUGGCGGACGGGUGAGUAAUGUCUGGGAAACUGCCUGAUGGAGGGGGAUAACUACUGGAAACGGUAGCUAAUACCGCAUAACGUCGCAAGACCAAAGAGGGGGACCUUCGGGCCUCUUGCCAUCGGAUGUGCCCAGAUGGGAUUAGCUAGUAGGUGGGGUAACGGCUCACCUAGGCGACGAUCCCUAGCUGGUCUGAGAGGAUGACCAGCCACACUGGAACUGAGACACGGUCCAGACUCCUACGGGAGGCAGCAGUGGGGAAUAUUGCACAAUGGGCGCAAGCCUGAUGCAGCCAUGCCGCGUGUAUGAAGAAGGCCUUCGGGUUGUAAAGUACUUUCAGCGGGGAGGAAGGGAGUAAAGUUAAUACCUUUGCUCAUUGACGUUACCCGCAGAAGAAGCACCGGCUAACUCCGUGCCAGCAGCCGCGGUAAUACGGAGGGUGCAAGCGUUAAUCGGAAUUACUGGGCGUAAAGCGCACGCAGGCGGUUUGUUAAGUCAGAUGUGAAAUCCCCGGGCUCAACCUUGGGAACUGCAUCUGAUACUGGCAAGCUUGAGUCUCGUAGAGGGGGGUAGAAUUCCAGGUGUAGCGGUGAAAUGCGUAGAGAUCUGGAGGAAUACCGGUGGCGAAGGCGGCCCCCUGGACGAAGACUGACGCUCAGGUGCGAAAGCGUGGGGAGCAAACAGGAUUAGAUACCCUGGUAGUCCACGCCGUAAACGAUGUCGACUUGGAGGUUGUGCCCUUGAGGCGUGGCUUCCGGAGCUAACGCGUUAAGUCGACCGCCUGGGGAGUACGGCCGCAAGGUUAAAACUCAAAUGAAUUGACGGGGGCCCGCACAAGCGGUGGAGCAUGUGGUUUAAUUCGAUGCAACGCGAAGAACCUUACCUGGUCUUGACAUCCACAGAACUUUCCAGAGAUGGAUUGGUGCCUUCGGGAACUGUGAGACAGGUGCUGCAUGGCUGUCGUCAGCUCGUGUUGUGAAAUGUUGGGUUAAGUCCCGCAACGAGCGCAACCCUUAUCCUUUGUUGCCAGCGGUCCGGCCGGGAACUCAAAGGAGACUGCCAGUGAUAAACUGGAGGAAGGUGGGGAUGACGUCAAGUCAUCAUGGCCCUUACGACCAGGGCUACACACGUGCUACAAUGGCGCAUACAAAGAGAAGCGACCUCGCGAGAGCAAGCGGACCUCAUAAAGUGCGUCGUAGUCCGGAUUGGAGUCUGCAACUCGACUCCAUGAAGUCGGAAUCGCUAGUAAUCGUGGAUCAGAAUGCCACGGUGAAUACGUUCCCGGGCCUUGUACACACCGCCCGUCACACCAUGGGAGUGGGUUGCAAAAGAAGUAGGUAGCUUAACCUUCGGGAGGGCGCUUACCACUUUGUGAUUCAUGACUGGGGUGAAGUCGUAACAAGGUAACCGUAGGGGAACCUGCGGUUGGAUCACCUCCUU